GUUCUUCUUUCUUUUCACUUUGUUCUUUCACCUCUUUUCCAGCUUCCUUCCGUGUUUCCUUAGAAGCACGGCUGACAUUUGAACCAAACACAAGUUUUCCUUGAGACUGUCGUCGUGUAUUUUCUGAACUAGAUCCCACAGAAUGUUGUCCCCUACCAUUGGCAACAGUUGGUUGCUUGUCUUUGGAUCCCUGUAAAGACUCC
This 203-nucleotide unclassified non-coding RNA is filed under the name Hevea brasiliensis (rubber tree). The record is from RNAcentral. Lineage: Eukaryota; Viridiplantae; Streptophyta; Magnoliopsida; Malpighiales; Euphorbiaceae.